This 5653-nucleotide long non-coding RNA is filed under the name Lynx pardinus (Iberian lynx). The record is from RNAcentral. Lineage: Eukaryota; Metazoa; Chordata; Mammalia; Carnivora; Felidae.
AGGAUCUGUAUCAGAAGUUUUCAUGAACUUAGGGUCCUGCGUUUCAGAUAAAAGCUGGGGAAGGGCGGAGGGGAGAGCCGGUGGGACUUUGGGCGAGGCGGUGGGAGCCAUGGAGGGCUCCGUGGGCAGGGACACGGCGUGCAUCGACCUAUCUCCUGCACCUUCAGGCCCCUGCCCCCACAGGGCCCGCUGGGGCAUACUGGUAAGACAGGCAGCUGUCUGUCUGGGCUGAGGGGCGCCAACACCAGGCAGAGGGCACCGCGUUCUACCCGCAUAGACCUGUGCCGGCCAGGACACGGGAGCUGGCGUCUGCUUCGUCGAGGCGAGUGUCACAGGGAAGCCUGUUCUGGGUAAGCCCCCCACCUGGCUGGUCAAGUCCAAGUGAUUCCGUCUCGUUCCUCUCUGUGGUGCAAGGGACCGCUCGCCCGGGGUGGGAGGGGCUGGCAGAAGGCUCUCUCUGCUCAUGGUGCUUCCCCCGCGGGACCCUUCCGGACCCUGCGACACCCUCCUUCCCGAAUCUGCCCCCAGCCCGCCCCACUCCCUGCCCGUCCCUGGCGGGGUCCCCUUGCUCCCCGCAGGAGACCUUCCCGGGGCCCCUGUGAUCCCCCCGGCGGCCCGGCCCAUGCGCACCGCCCCACACUUCCUGAGCCUUGUUCUCUGGGACCACUCUGGGCGCCAGGAGCCAGGGCGGUUUUCUCUCGUGCGGCUCGAGACGGUUCACCGGCUCCUGCCCAGCCUGGGGGUCAGAUCCCACCUGGUUUCAUGUGUCUAAGUGAGAGCUUAGUCCCCAGGUACUUGUUAUCAGACUUGCCAAUUUUAGCCGUGUUUUCUGGGUCAGCCGGGUGAUGGACCUCGUGUACGGGUUGAUCAUUACCACUCUGUUUUGGAGGGGCUAUUAUUAGUGUCCCAGGGCUGUCAUAACAAAGCACCACAAAUCGGGUGGCUUACACAACAGAGACUUAUUCUCUCCGAGUUCUGGAGGCCCCAAGUGUGAAAUAAAGCUGUCCUCAUGGCCCUACCUGCUCCGAAGCCUCCAGGGGAGGGUUUUCCUUGCCUCUUCCAGCUUGUGUUGUUCCGUGGCUUGUGACUCUGUACCCCCCCCCCCCCCCACCAAGUCUCUGCCUGUCUUCAUAUGGCCAUCACCUUCCUGUGUGUCUGUGUCUUUGAAUCAGGUGCAUACGUGUGCACAUGGCGGGGGGGCACCUGUAUGCGGGUGCACGCGUGUGUGUUUGCGUGUACAUGUGUGUCUGUGCGAGCCUGUGCACGGGUGUGUGUGUGUGCGUGUGUGUCUAGUUAUAACUAAGUAACUAAGUCUGGGGGUGGGGCGAGGUGAGGACCAGGACUAGGCCACGCGAGCCACAGGCCAGUCCUGGGAUGGCUCCCCGUGAGGCUUGUCUCCACCUCGCUGGGCUGCUUAAAGCGAACCAGUGGGACCGGUCACUUUGGGGGGACUUGGAGGCCCCGAGUCCCCGUCUGGAAGGAGGAUUGCGAGACGCAGGGUUCACGUUCUGUGCCCGGGGGGCUAGAGGGAUUGAGGAACCCCCUGGGAGCGGCCCCGCCAGGAGACUUUGAGAACAGAGCCCCGGAGUCUCCGCCUUAAGUGCAGUUGGCUUAGCGGCAGGAUCGGCGGAGCAGUCAUGUCGCCGGCCUCUGGGCAGGGUCCCCUGACAAAGUGCAGGCUGCCGGCCUGCUAACAUUUACGUUUUAGGUCAAUGGUUAAUUUAUGGCUGUAAGUGUGUUCCAAACCCUACAUGAGACAUACCCGUACUGAGACGGUGCUCGAUGUCGCUGAAAUUCAUAUUUCACGAGGUGUCCUCCACUUUUAUUUGCUACACUGGCCACCGUACCGGAGAGGCCCCCCAGGGCCCGAGGAGGCUGCCAGGGAGGGGGGGCGGGUCCCAGCCUCCUCCCCCGCCCCCGCCUCCAUGGAGAUCGCCAGGAUGGGGUGGGAACCAAUCCCGCUGGCCCGUGGGGACAUCUGGAGCGCUAACGGGGCAAGGAGGGGAGUGGGGGGGACAGAGGCCCGCCCAGGCACCGCACGAAGGGAGGCGUGGGGCCCCUGUAAGCCCUGGAGCAGGGGCGUCCCGGGUGCAAGUGGGGGUAUCCGCGUCUCCUUGGCGGGGUGGAUUUAGGUACUUUGUGAGAGUCCGCAGCGUCGGGGAGUGAACGCUGGGUGGGUUCCCGGCCCCUGCCUGGCUCCUGCGCGUCAUUCAUUGCCUGACCAAUGUCACAGCCACAAGCAGCACGGAGCCUCCGCCUUUCUGGAGGAGUGCAGGCCAGGAGGGGGCGCUCGGGGGGAAACACGCAGAGAUCCUCGAUGGGUCAGCGAUGGCGGGCUGGGAGGGUGGGACGGAAGGGUUUCCUGAGGACCCCAUAUUUAAGCCGAGUGUCACGAGGGAAGAGGAGUUACUCAGGAGAAGGUCUGGGGGAGGAAGGGCUGGGGGAGGGAUCCCAGGUCUAAGGAGAAGAAGCAGGUGCCCAGGCUGGAGGUGGGGAGGCCAUGAGAAUUCCAAGGGGGAGAAGACCACCGUGGCCGAGAGGAGGGAAGGCAGGGUGUCGGCAUGAGCCUGAGCCACAGGGAAACCUGACACCAGGUUUUCCACGUGGAAUAUAUUCUGGAAGGCCUUCUGGUUGCCCCUCUGGAGCUGUGGGCCCCGGCUGGCCAGUGUCUUCCUCCGGGGCCAUCUAUCAGGGUCUCCUCGCGGUGACCUCUGUGGGGAGGGGCCCGAUGCCCCCAAGUGGCGUGGGGCUCCUGGUGGCAACUCUGGGCCGGCCUCGUGAAGGGACUCCCCCUCCCCACCCUUGUUUGACCCUGAGGGUCUGUCCCGCUCCAGCGAGCAGGCUUUCGUCCACACUGGCUCACUGCCUCCACGGGUCCCGUGCCCUCGCUGCUUCGAGACUCAUGCCUACGUGUGACUCCCCCUCCACCCCUGGAAGGCACAUCCUUGCCCCACAGAAAACCAGAUGAUUUUGUAUUUUUGAAGACAGAGGAGGGAAAGAUAGAGAGAACCCUCUGAUCUACUCCAUGCAUUUGCCACCAAAGCGGUCUUCCCAAAGUCUCCCACACAGAGGCUUUUGGAAAGAAAGAGCCAGGGUCACUUUGGCACCAGGAAGGGCUCAAAUCCCACUCACGGCUUGGGUGACGUCCCUCAGUUACUUGCCUUCUCGGUGGCUCAGUUUCCCCACCUGUGGAAUGAGGUCCACCGCAGCGCCCAGCACACAGGGCUAUUUGAGGACAAGGUGCGGUGACCCGGCUCAGGCUGGGGUCUGCACCCUCAGCCGAGGCACCGACACAGGGGGCUCGAUGGAACCCCCGAGCCGCGAGUGAGGGCAGGCGAGUUAGCCUUGGGGCCCAGACACUUCUAACCUGCUCUGCUCAUCACAGAGGGAUCUGCAUCAUCCACAGUUGUCUCCAGGAUGGGACAAGAUGGAUGGAGGUUGGGUCUUGUGCGGAGGGAGGGGGAAGAGAGCAGUCUUUGGAGUCCACGAAAGCAGGGCCGUUGGUAAAAAGAGACGUUGGAGGUGGACAAAUUAACCUUUUAAUCAGGAAACCACAAGAAUCACAAAAGCGUGAAGACACUUGGCAAAGAGGUUGGGUCCUGCUCAGAGUUACCUCGUGCACACGCUGGCCGGAGGAGGUGAGACCCCAGCUCCGGGCGCCUUCCCCAUGAACCACCACCUCCCGGGCGUGUGUGGCCCCAGACACUCAUGCUCCUACUCAAACACACUCAGACCCAAGGUGCCCUCGUGUGUCUGGCGCUCCCUCCAAAGUGGGCUUUCGUCCUUAGGGAGCACUGUGUAUCCAGCACCUUGGUGCGGAAGAAAAGAAGGAGACUGGAAUUACCACGGCUUCGUCCUCCAGCUGUGUUUUCCUGGAGGCGGACGUCCAGGCUGCACUGACGAUGCAAAUGUUGACGGAAUUGUGUUCUGGGCCAGCAUUUCCCUCUAAAGCACCUCGGGAUCAAAGCUACAGACCCAGGGCGCCUGGGUGGCUCAGUCGGUUGAGCGUCCGACUUCGGCUCAGGUCAGGAGCUCGCGCUUUGUGGGUUCCAGCCUCGUGUCGGGCUGUGUGCUGACAGCUCGGAGCCUGGAGCCUGCUUUGGAUUCUGUGUCUCCCCCCUCUCUCUGCCCCUCCUCCACUCACACUCUGUCCCUCUCUCUCUCUGUCAGAAAUAAAUAAACAUUAUUAUUUUUUUUAAUUUAAAAGGGAAAGGUAAGCUAUUCAGCUAGCAAAAUAUAGUUUAUUUGGAACAGCGGAAGUGUGGGAACUCCGGACAAGCGCGGGUGGACAAAACACGGACGAGACUGGAGAACAAAGGAGAGUCCUUUCAUAACGGAAGGGAGGAAGCUGGGAGGUGUCUUUCUGAACAAGUUUAUUAGAGGACAGUGCGCGUUUGAAGCGGUGGUCGUUCUUCCUUGGCUGCGGGCCACCGGGGUGAUGGCCGCCUCGCGCUGGCUACGGGCAAAGCAGCUUGCUGUUGUCGGCCAGGAGGAAAUCUUUCUCCUUCCUGCUGGGCUGGGCAGACUCUGGAGAGUAGUGUGUGUACGACAGCCCAGCCUUGAGUUAGGCUCCUUUAACACAUUUUCAUCCCCCGCGAUACCACUGAAGCCGGGGCGGUAGACGCAGUGUAGACAGCAAUGCGCGCUUCUCCCUUCGGUUUGCAGCACACUGUGCGGAGCAAGAUCUGGCUGUGAGGACGAGGAAAGGGUCAGAGGGCCGGCAGGUGGGCCCUGAAAGGGGAGCCGGGGAAAGAUGUCAAAGGUCACAGUAGCAUUUUUAGAGAGAUCCUGUCCGUGGUAUUCAUGAUGCGUGAAUCUUUACACAACAGACAAACAAACACAAACACGUGAUAGAAGACAGUUCUCAUCAGGCAAACAUCCAGACUGGGGCAGGGUGAAGAGGCCAGGUGCCUUCAAGAAGGAGCUACGAGAUGGUGGGAAAGCCAUGCAGAAGGCCACGUAAGCAAGAUGGCGGCACACGAUGUGGGCCAUGGCCUCAGUUGGGCUCACUCUCUCUUAUGGGAUAGAUGUGUUUCCCCGAAACUCAUGUGUUGAAGUUCUAAGCCCAGUGCCUCAGAAUGUGACUGUACUGGGAGUGAGCUCUUCGCAGAGGUAAUUAAGGUUAAAUGAGCUCAUUGGGGGUGAGCCACACCCCAGCGUGACUGGGGUUCUUAUAAGAAGAGGGGAUCAGGACACGGGCACACACAAGUGAACCAUGUGAGGACCCAGGGAGACGGCGGCCAUCUACACACCAAGGAGAGAGGCCUCAGAAGGAAGCAACCUAGCUGAAACCUUGACCUAUGACUCCUGGCCUCCGGAACUGGGAGAAAAUAUGUUUCUGUUAUUGAAGCCGUCUAGACUGCUGAACUUUGUUGGCCCUCAUGCCCUCGUAUAGUUUCCUGCCUGUUCACGCCAGACACCGGCAGGACAUCACUUUGGGUUAAUAAAAGCACAUUUUUUAAGAUUUGAGUUGCGCUCAGAAUACCCAUUUUUAAAAAUUGAUUAAUAAAACACUCGAUCUAGGGGCACCUGGGCGGCCCAGUCAGUUAAGAUUCUGACUUGAUUUUGGCUCAGGUCAUGGUCUCACGGUUCAUGAGUUCAAGCCCCAUGUCAGGCUCUGAACUGACAGUGUGGAGCCUGCUUGGGAUUCUUU